UACGGAAGGCAGCAGUGGGGAAUAUUGCACAAUGGGCGAAAGCCUGAUGCAGCUAUGCCGCGUGUAUGAAGAAGGCUUUAGGGUUGUAAAGUACUUUCAUCGGGGAGGAAAAACAAAACUAAUAAUUUUAUUUCUUGACGUUACCCGAAAAAGAAGCACCGGCUAACUCCGUGCCAGCAGCCGCGGUAAUACGGAGGGUGCUAGCGUUAAUCAGAAUUACUGGGCGUAAAGAGCACGUAGGUGGUUUUUUUAAGUCAGAUGUGAAAUCCCUGGGCUUAACCUAGGAACUGCAUUUUGAAACUGAAAUACUAGAGUAUCGUAGAGGGAGGUAGAAUUCUAGGUGUAGCGGUGAAAUGCGUAGAUAUCUGGAGGAAUACCUGUGGCGAAAGCGGCCUCCUAAACGAAUACUGACACUGAGGUGCGAAAGCGUGGGGAGCAAACAGGGAUUAGAUACC
This 455-nucleotide ribosomal RNA is filed under the name uncultured bacterium. Its description in RNAcentral is "bacterial SSU rRNA". It matches the Rfam family "Bacterial small subunit ribosomal RNA", at positions 340 to 786 of the family's 1533-position model. The record is from RNAcentral.